AACGAACGUUGGCGGCGUGGAUUAGGCAUGCAAGUCGAACGAAUCCCGGGGGCAACUCCGGGGGAAGUGGCGAAAGGGGCAGUAAUGCGUGGCUAACCUACCCUGGGGACGGGGAUAGCCUUCCUAACGGAAGGGUAAUACCUGGCGAUGUGGCGAGGGGGCAUCUUCUUGCCAUGAAAUGAGUUUCGCCUCGGGAGGGGGUCACGUGCUAUUAGCUUGUUGGCGGGGUAACGGCCCACCAAGGCUAAGAUGGCUAGCGGGUGUGAGAGCACGACCCGCGCCACUGGCACUGAGACACUGGCCAGACUCCUACGGGAGGCUGCAGUCGAGGAUCUUCGUCAAUGGGCGCAAGCCUGACCGAGCGACGCCGCGUGUGCGAUGAAGGCCUUCGGGUUGUAAAGCACUGUCGAGGGGGAGGAAAGCCCGCAAGGGUCUGACCUAUCCCUGGAGGAAGCACGGGCUAAGUUCGUGCCAGCAGCCGCGGUAAGACGAACCGUGCGAACGUUGUUCGGAUUCACUGGGCUUAAAGGGCGCGUAGGCGGCUUGCCAAGUCAGGGGUGAAAUCUUUCGGCUUAACCGGAAAAGUGCUUCUGAUACUGGCAGGCUGGAGGGAGGUAGGGGCAGAUGGAACUUCCGGUGGAGCGGUGAAAUGCGUAGAUAUCGGAAGGAACGCCGGUGGCGAAAGCGACGUGCUGGACCUUUUCUGACGCUGAGGCGCGAAAGCCAGGGGAGCAAACGGGAUUAGAUACCCCGGUAGUCCUGGCCCUAAACGAUGGGUACUAGAUUGUAGACUAAACAUGGGUUUACAGUCGAAGCAAAAGUGUUAAGUACCCCGCCUGGGGAGUAUGGUCGCAAGGCUG
This 860-nucleotide ribosomal RNA is filed under the name uncultured bacterium. RNAcentral describes it as "bacterial SSU rRNA". It matches the Rfam family "Bacterial small subunit ribosomal RNA", at positions 28 to 896 of the family's 1533-position model. The record is from RNAcentral.